CCCAAAGGUUCCCUCAGAAUGGUUGGAAAUCAUUCGAAGAGUGCAAAGGCAUAAGGGAGCUUGACUGCGAGACCUACAAGUCGAGCAGGGACGAAAGUCGGGCUUAGU
RNAcentral lists this ribosomal RNA (108 nucleotides) under Phytophthora kernoviae 00238/432. RNAcentral's name for it is "pseudoknot of the domain G(G12) of 23S ribosomal RNA". It matches the Rfam family "Bacterial large subunit ribosomal RNA", at positions 2309 to 2416 of the family's 2925-position model. Lineage: Eukaryota; Oomycota; Peronosporomycetes; Peronosporales; Peronosporaceae. The record is from RNAcentral.